CCUACGGGUGGCAGCAGUGGGGAAUAUUGGACAAUGGGCGAAAGCCUGAUCCAGCCAUGCCGCGUGUGUGAAGAAGGCCUUCGGGUUGUAAAGCACUUUCAGUGGGGAAGAAAGCCUUGGGGCUAAUACCCUCGAGGAAGGACAUCACCCACAGAAGAAGCACCGGCUAACUCCGUGCCAGCAGCCGCGGUAAUACGGAGGGUGCGAGCGUUAAUCGGAAUUACUGGGCGUAAAGCGCGCGUAGGCGGUCUGAUAAGCCGGUUGUGAAAGCCCCGGGCUCAACCUGGGAACGGCAUCCGGAACUGUCAGGCUAGAGUGCAGGAGAGGAAGGUAGAAUUCCCGGUGUAGCGGUGAAAUGCGUAGAGAGCGGGAGGAAUACCAGUGGCGAAGGCGGUCUUCUGGACUGACACUGACGCUGAGGUGCGAAAGCGUGGGUAGCAAACAGGAUUAGAUACCCUAGUAGUC
RNAcentral lists this ribosomal RNA (465 nucleotides) under Vreelandella stevensii. Its description in RNAcentral is "partial 16S ribosomal RNA". It matches the Rfam family "Bacterial small subunit ribosomal RNA", at positions 338 to 795 of the family's 1533-position model. Lineage: Bacteria; Pseudomonadati; Pseudomonadota; Gammaproteobacteria; Oceanospirillales; Halomonadaceae. The record is from RNAcentral.